RNAcentral lists this long non-coding RNA (947 nucleotides) under Homo sapiens (human). RNAcentral describes it as "HSALNT0384254". Lineage: Eukaryota; Metazoa; Chordata; Mammalia; Primates; Hominidae. The record is from RNAcentral.
AAAGAGAUGGAGACACACGGUGAGCCAUCAGGGCAGAAGGAAAACACCCGGGGAAGCAACAGUGCAUUGUCUGGGGGCAGUAACCCAGGCAGAUGUGUCCACAGGUGCCAUGGCAACUCCAGGUGGGAGUUGACCCUGGAGACAGGUGUCUACGAGUGGCCAGAUUGUCCCACGCAAGUGCGCUGGAGGAUGUAAGGCCAUAAAUGCAAGAUAAGGAAAUAGCUACAGAAGAAAUCAGGAGCAUUUUAUUCCAUCAGGGAGGACCCAGCAGAGAACUCUGCUGCUCCAGGAUGCAGGCCCUGGGCAACCAUUCAAGGAUGGCACCCAAGAUGGGACAGAGCUGCUCUGGAAAGGUCUCUGGCCAGCAGUGUGAGAGGAUGGACUGAGGUGGAGGCUACCACAGGGAUGGAGGAGUCUUAGAACCUGCUCCAAAUGAAGUAUGGAUAUUAUGUCCAGAUGCUACCCAGGGGCUGAAUCAUGGGAAUCAGGGAAGAACAGACAGAGAACUUCAAUUCACAGCAUUCGUCCAGGCCACCUCUGUAUAAAUGUUCUCAAAUUCUAGAGUGCUUCCAUCCCUCUGGGACUUUUAUGGCAUUUUAUAAGUUGUAUUUAACUUCUAGGUGAAAUAGGGAUGUGGCACUGAGGAUCAACUACAGAGAGAGGUAAAGAAGAGCAUGUGGCCAGAGAAGAGAUUUUUGGCUUCAUUCAGAAUAAUUUACUUUUAUUUUUAUUUUUAGUAAAGAUGGCAUCUUGCCAUAUGUUUGCCAGGUUGGUCUUGAACUCCUGGCCUUAAAGAAUCUCCCCACCUUCCAGAUUGCUAGGAUUAUAGGAAGGAGCCACUGUGCCUGGCCCCCGAAUAAUUUCUGAGCACUACCUAGUCUGCUUUAAGCAAAACUAAAAGUUGGCUAUUUUGUCAUGUGCUAAAAAUGCAGGAGGCGCUCACAGAG